GCCCCAGCUUGCUGGGGUGGAUGAGUGGCGAACAAGGUGAGUAACACGUGAGUAACCUGCCCAUCAUUCUGGGAUAAGCGCUGGAAACGGCGUCUAAUACUGGAUACGAGCAGCGACCGCAUGGUCAGUUGCUGGAAAGACUGGUUCGGUGAUGGAUGGACUCGCGGCCUAUCAGCUUGUUGGUGAGGUAAUGGCUCACCAAGGCGACGACGGGUAGCCGGCCUGAGAGGGUGACCGGCCACACUGGGACUGAGACACGGCCCAGACUCCUACGGGAGGCAGCAGUGGGGAAUAUUGCACAAUGGGCGCAAGCCUGAUGCAGCAACGCCGCGUGAGGGAUGACGGCCUUCGGGUUGUAAACCUCUUUUAGUAGGGAAGAAGCCUUCGGGUGACGGUACCUGCAGAAAAAGCACCGGCUAACUACGUGCCAGCAGCCGCGGUAAUACGUAGGGUGCAAGCGUUGUCCGGAAUUAUUGGGCGUAAAGAGCUCGUAGGCGGCUUGUCGCGUCUGCUGUGAAAACCCGAGGCUCAACCUCGGGCCUGCAGUGGGUACGGGCAAGCUAGAGUGCGGUAGGGGAGAUUGGAAUUCCUGGUGUAGCGGUGGAAUGCGCAGAUAUCAGGAGGAACACCGAUGGCGAAGGCAGAUCUCUGGGCCGUAACUGACGCUGAGGAGCGAAAGCAUGGGGAGCGAACAGGAUUAGAUACCCUGGUAGUCCAUGCCGUAAACGUUGGGAACUAGAUGUAGGGCCUGUUCCACGGGUUCUGUGUCGUAGCUAACGCAUUAAGUUCCCCGCCUGGGGAGUACGGCCGCAAGGCUAAAACUCAAAGGAAUUGACGGGGGCCCGCACAAGCGGCGGAGCAUGCGGAUUAAUUCGAUGCAACGCGAAGAACCUUACCAAGGCUUGACAUAUGGAAGAACGGGUCAGAAAUGAUUCACUCUUUGGACACUUCUAUACAGGUGGUGCAUGGUUGUCGUCAGCUCGUGUCGUGAGAUGUUCGGUUAAGUCCGGCAACGAGCGCAACCCUCGUCCUAUGUUGCCAGCACGUCAUGGUGGGAACUCAUGGGAUACUGCCGUGGUCAACACGGAAGAAAGGUGGGGAUGACGUCAAAUCAUCAUGCCCCUUAGGUCUUGGGCUUCACCCAUGCUACAAUGGCCGGUACAAUGGGCUGC
Molecule: ribosomal RNA, 1172 nt
Filed under: Leucobacter tardus
Lineage: Bacteria; Bacillati; Actinomycetota; Actinomycetes; Micrococcales; Microbacteriaceae
Description: bacterial SSU rRNA
Rfam family: Bacterial small subunit ribosomal RNA
Source: RNAcentral